Transfer RNA from Serpula lacrymans var. lacrymans S7.3, 72 nucleotides. It matches the Rfam family "tRNA". Rfam says of the family: Transfer RNA (tRNA) molecules are approximately 80 nucleotides in length. Their secondary structure includes four short double-helical elements and three loops (D, anti-codon, and T loops). The record is from Rfam. Lineage: Eukaryota; Fungi; Basidiomycota; Agaricomycetes; Boletales; Serpulaceae.
GACUCCAUAGCUCAGUGGUAGAGCAUACGAUUGCAGAUCGUGCGGUCCCGUGUUCGAACCACGGUGGGGUCU